This 462-nucleotide ribosomal RNA is filed under the name rape rhizosphere bacterium tsb029. RNAcentral describes it as "bacterial SSU rRNA". It matches the Rfam family "Bacterial small subunit ribosomal RNA", at positions 27 to 477 of the family's 1533-position model. The record is from RNAcentral.
GAGUGAACGCUGGCGGUAGGCCUAACACAUGCAAGUCGAACGGCAGCACAGUAAGAGCUUGCUCUUAUGGGUGGCGAGUGGCGGACGGGUGAGGAAUACAUCGGAAUCUACUUUUUCGUGGGGGAUAACGUAGGGAAACUUACGCUAAUACCGCAUACGACCUACGGGUGAAAGCAGGGGAUCUUCGGACCUUGCGCGAUUGAAUGAGCCGAUGUCGGAUUAGCUAGUUGGCGGGGUAAAGGCCCACCAAGGCGACGAUCCGUAGCUGGUCUGAGAGGAUGAUCAGCCACACUGGAACUGAGACACGGUCCAGACUCCUACGGGAGGCAGCAGUGGGGAAUAUUGGACAAUGGGCGCAAGCCUGAUCCAGCCAUACCGCGUGGGUGAAGAAGGCCUUCGGGUUGUAAAGCCCUUUUGUUGGGAAAGAAAUCCAGCCGGCUAAUACCUGUUGGGAUGACGGUA